AGUGAACGCUGGCGGCAGGCCUAACACAUGCAAGUCGAGCGGCAGCGGGUCCUUCGGGAUGCCGGCGAGCGGCGGACGGGUGAGGAAUGCAUCGGAAUCUGCCCUGUCGUGGGGGAUAACCUAGGGAAACUUAGGCUAAUACCGCAUACGACCCACGGGUGAAAGCGGGGGAUCGCAAGACCUCGCGCGAUAGGAUGAGCCGAUGUCCGAUUAGCUAGUUGGCGGGGUAAAGGCCCACCAAGGCGACGAUCGGUAGCUGGUCCGAGAGGAUGAGCAGCCACACUGGGACUGAGACACGGCCCAGACUCCUACGGUAGGCCGCAGUGCGGAAUAUUGGACAAUGGGCGCAAGCCUGAUCCAGCCAUGCCGCGUGGGUGAAGAAGGCCUUCGGGUUGUAAAGCCCUUUUGUCCGGGAGGAAGUCGUCUGGGCUAAUACCCCGGGCGGAUGACGGUACCGGAAGAAUAAGCACCGGCUAACUUCGUG
Molecule: ribosomal RNA, 484 nt
Filed under: uncultured bacterium
Lineage: Bacteria
Description: partial 16S ribosomal RNA
Rfam family: Bacterial small subunit ribosomal RNA
Source: RNAcentral